RNAcentral lists this ribosomal RNA (385 nucleotides) under Vibrio sp. RNAcentral's name for it is "bacterial SSU rRNA". It matches the Rfam family "Bacterial small subunit ribosomal RNA", at positions 961 to 1335 of the family's 1533-position model. Lineage: Bacteria; Pseudomonadati; Pseudomonadota; Gammaproteobacteria; Vibrionales; Vibrionaceae. The record is from RNAcentral.
GCGAAGAACCUUACCUACUCUUGACAUCCAGAGAACUUUCCAGAGAUGGAUUGGUGCCUUCGGGAACUCUGAGACAGGUGCUGCAUGGCUGUCGUCAGCUCGUGUUGUGAAAUGUUGGGUUAAGUCCCGCAACGAGCGCAACCCUUAUCCUUGUUUGCCAGCGAGUAAUGUCGGGAACUCCAGGGAGACUGCCGGUGAUAAACCGGAGGAAGGUGGGGACGACGUCAAGUCAUCAUGGCCCUUACGAGUAGGGCUACACACGUGCUACAAUGGCGCAUACAGAGGGCRGCCAACUUGCGAAAGUGAGCGAAUCCCAAAAAGUGMGUSGUAGUCCGGAUUGGAGUCUGCAACUCGACUCCAUGAAGUCGGAAUCGCUUAGUWWUUC